GACGAACUUUGGCGGCGUGCUUAACGCAUGCAAGUCGAACGGAAAGGCCCUGCUUUUGUGGGGUGCUCGAGUGGCGAACGGGUGAGUAACACGUGAGUAACCUGCCCUUGACUUUGGGAUAACUUCAGGAAACUGGGGCUAAUACCGGAUAGGAGCUCCUGCUGCAUGGUGGGGGUUGGAAAGUUUCGGCGGUUGGGGAUGGACUCGCGGCUUAUCAGCUUGUUGGUGGGGUAGUGGCUUACCAAGGCUUUGACGGGUAGCCGGCCUGAGAGGGUGACCGGCCACAUUGGGACUGAGAUACGGCCCAGACUCCUACGGGAGGCAGCAGUGGGGAAUAUUGCACAAUGGGCGGAAGCCUGAUGCAGCAACGCCGCGUGCGGGAUGACGGCCUUCGGGUUGUAAACCGCUUUCGCCUGUGACGAAGCGUGAGUGACGGUAAUGGGUAAAGAAGCACCGGCUAACUACGUGCCAGCAGCCGCGGUGAUACGUAGGGUGCGAGCGUUGUCCGGAUUUAUUGGGCGUAAAGGGCUCGUAGGUGAUUGAUCGCGUCGGAAGUGUAAUCUUGGGGCUUAACCCUGAGCGUGCUUUCGAUACGGGUUGACUUGAGGAAGGUAGGGGAGAAUGGAAUUCCUGGUGGAGCGGUGGAAUGCGCAGAUAUCAGGAGGAACACCAGUGGCGAAGGCGGUUCUCUGGGCCUUUCCUGACGCUGAGGAGCGAAAGCGUGGGGAGCGAACAGGCUUAGAUACCCUGGUAGUCCACGCUGUAAACGGUGGGUACUAGGUGUGGGGUCCAUUCCACGGGUUCCGUGCCGUAGCUAACGCUUUAAGUACCCCGCCUGGGGAGUACGGCCGCAAGGCUAAAACUCAAAGGAAUUGACGGGGCCCCGCACAAGCGGCGGAGCAUGCGGAUUAAUUCGAUGCAACGCGUAGAACCUUACCUGGGUUUGACAUGGAUCGGGAGUGCUCAGAGAUGGGUGUGCCUCUUUUGGGGUCGGUUCACAGGUGGUGCAUGGCUGUCGUCAGCUCGUGUCGUGAGAUGUUGGGUUAAGUCCCGCAACGAGCGCAACCCUUGUUCACUGUUGCCAGCACGUUAUGGUGGGGACUCAGUGGAGACCGCCGGGGUCAACUCGGAGGAAGGUGGGGAUGACGUCAAGUCAUCAUGCCCCUUAUGUCCAGGGCUUCACGCAUGCUACAAUGGCUGGUACAGAGAGUGGCGAGCCUGUGAGGGUGAGCGAAUCUCGGAAAGCCGGUCUCAGUUCGGAUUGGGGUCUGCAACUCGACCUCAUGAAGUCGGAGUCGCUAGUAAUCGCAGAUCAGCAACGCUGCGGUGAAUACGUUCCCCGGGCU
RNAcentral lists this ribosomal RNA (1346 nucleotides) under uncultured bacterium. Its description in RNAcentral is "bacterial SSU rRNA". It matches the Rfam family "Bacterial small subunit ribosomal RNA", at positions 28 to 1381 of the family's 1533-position model. The record is from RNAcentral.